AAUGAACGCUGGCGGCGUGCCUAAUACAUGCAAGUCGAGCGCCUGCACAUUGCCCAUAAAUAAUUGUGGUCAACGUGCAGGAGCGGCGGACGGGUGAGUAACGCGUAGGAAUGUACCCCAAACUGAGGGAUAAGCCAAAGAAAUUUGGUCUAAUACCGCAUAUGGUCUUCGGAUUAAAGCUUCGGCGGUUUGGGAACAGCCUGCGUAGGAUUAGCUAGUUGGUAAGGUAAAAGCUUACCAAGGCUACGAUCCUUAACUGGUUUGAGAGGAUGACCAGUCACACUGGAACUGAGACACGGUCCAG
RNAcentral lists this ribosomal RNA (304 nucleotides) under uncultured bacterium. RNAcentral's name for it is "bacterial SSU rRNA". It matches the Rfam family "Bacterial small subunit ribosomal RNA", at positions 29 to 334 of the family's 1533-position model. The record is from RNAcentral.